CUUUUUGUAUAUCUCCGUUGUCAGAUUUUAUUUUAAAUUUAAAUAAUUUUCAUGAUAAUCACUUUUAAUACUUCAGGUCAAGGUGCAGAAUAAAUAAGAUAUUAUGUAUUACGGUCAAAAUUAUUGUAUUGGAUUUAUAUCUGUAAAAUUUUAAUGAAAUUGAAUUUAUAAGUAAAAAAAAAUAGAAUAUUUAUUUGAAAAUUUAUUAAAUAUGU
RNAcentral lists this ribosomal RNA (215 nucleotides) under Ooperipatellus sp. 6 IDSO-2016. RNAcentral describes it as "partial 12S ribosomal RNA". The record is from RNAcentral. Lineage: Eukaryota; Metazoa; Onychophora; Udeonychophora; Euonychophora; Peripatopsidae.